RNA transcript from Xenia sp. Carnegie-2017, 640 nucleotides. It is a transcript of the gene named fibroblast growth factor receptor 1-A-like, with no coding region annotated. The transcript has 4 exons. Lineage: Eukaryota; Metazoa; Cnidaria; Anthozoa; Malacalcyonacea; Xeniidae. The record is from RefSeq and is a predicted model, not a curated record.
CUCUGAGAAGUUAGCUCUGAUCUCAAUAAGAACUGAUGUGAUACCACAACAUCCGUUCGGUGAACAAAGCUCUGUACAUUAUUAUCACGUGACUUGUAAGGAGUUCGGGGAACAAAAUAUUGUGGUUACAAUUGGCAAUAAUCCAUCAGAAACUAAUAACUAUCCAGCGAGCUCUAUUAUCACUUUGAGAUUUGCCUGCAUGAUACCUGCCACCCUCAACUCUGAACCAGAUGUCCAACUACCCGAGAUCACGGAUCGUACGUUCAGUUUACAGGAUUGUCAGAGUCCUAAUAAAGAGCCAAUAGUACGAAACUUCCAUCGUUCACAACGAACAUCACAAAGGUUGAAGUUGAAAACGAGUCUCGCAAGGGAAAGAUUCUCUGUAACGUGCUCAGUGCUGAGGACAACGACUACUGGUUCACACGAGAAGGGAAACGCGUAACAAAUAGCAAAAUAUAUCGUUACAAGAAGAAUAGAUAUCUGAGAAUAAAAAAGAUCACAUGGCUGACGCUGGGUGAAUACGUUUGCUGGGCAAGAAACAAGGCGGGAGAAGUGAGCAGAAUAAUAAACGUUGUUGUCGUGGACUCACGUGUAGACAAGAUCACUAAAGAUUUUGCACCCGUUUUUCUAUUUCCGCAUU